This 253-nucleotide ribosomal RNA is filed under the name uncultured bacterium. RNAcentral's name for it is "partial 16S ribosomal RNA". It matches the Rfam family "Bacterial small subunit ribosomal RNA", at positions 524 to 776 of the family's 1533-position model. The record is from RNAcentral.
UACGUAGGGUGCAAGCGUUAAUCGGAAUUACUGGGCGUAAAGCGUGCGCAGGCGGUUUUGUAAGACUGUCGUGAAAUCCCCGGGCUUAACCUGGGAAUGGCGAUGGUGACUGCAAGGCUAGAGUUUGGCAGAGGGGGGUAGAAUUCCACGUGUAGCAGUGAAAUGCGUAGAGAUGUGGAGGAACACCGAUGGCGAGGGCAGCCCCCUGGGUCAAGAUUGACGCUCAUGCACGAAAGCGUGGGGAGCAAACAGG